Molecule: ribosomal RNA, 804 nt
Filed under: uncultured Sebacinales
Lineage: Eukaryota; Fungi; Basidiomycota; Agaricomycetes; Sebacinales
Description: eukaryotic LSU rRNA
Rfam family: 5.8S ribosomal RNA (bases 515-668)
Source: RNAcentral
AGGCAACACUAUCAAAUUGCGGGAAGAUCCUGUCAAGUCCAUGUCACCGCGGCUCACCGAAAGGUGCAGCGCAGCACCGGAUUAACAACCCUGGGUAAGGUAACAGUCCAUGGAAUAGGGAGAAUCCGCAGCCAAGCCCCUACGACUUUGGGGGUGCAGUUCACAGGCCAAAUGGUAGUGGGCAUCUAACGGUGCUUAAGAUAUGGUCGAGUCCCAAUUGUAAAGUUGGGUACAAGUACUCUGAUUACUACAUGGUGUAGUAGCUUGUUAAAUGCAAAUGUUCCGUAGGUGAACCUGCGGAAGGAUCAUUAAUGAAUCACAAGUCGGCCGUUCUGUGCUGGUGGCAACACAUGUGCACGUCGGUCGCAAAUCCACACACCUGUGCACCUUUGACUUUGGGAUCCGCCUGUCUUUUGACUCGCAGCAGGUCGGCUUUGUGCCGUCCUGGGUCUCAGAGUACUUUUACACACUCUGAAUGUAAUGGAAUGUCUCUGUGCUUAACGCGCAUAUAAACAACUUUCAACAACGGAUCUCUUGGCUCUCGCAUCGAUGAAGAACGCAGCGAAAUGCGAUAAGUAUUGUGAAUUGCAGAAUUCAGUGAAUCAUCGAAUCUUUGAACGCACCUUGCACCCUUUGGUAUUCCGAGGGGUACACCCGUUUGAGUGUCAUUGUAACCUCACUCCGACAACUUUGUUGAUGUCUGGAGGUGGAUCUGGACCUUGCCGUGUCAUGAUGGCUGGUCUGAAAUGCAUGAGUGCACCCUGCUGUAGCAGCGUCUUCAGUGUGAUAAGUAUCUUCACUGAU